Molecule: long non-coding RNA, 3190 nt
Organism: Diorhabda sublineata
Lineage: Eukaryota; Metazoa; Arthropoda; Insecta; Coleoptera; Chrysomelidae
Exons: 3
Source: RefSeq, a predicted model, not a curated record
GAAUAUUAAUGGAAACAUGAUUUUUCGACAUGGUAGUUCGUCGACUUAGUAUAUUAGGGUGGUUUUAUUAUAGAAAAGUGUAUUUAGUGUCAAAAGGCUUAGCUGUAAGUACUAUGUUAACGUAAUAAACACUCAGUGAUUUUUGUAUGUUUUUAUUAUUACUGUUCCUGACCAAAUACCCCAACAACACAUGGCGAUCCUGCGAAACACAAGGCUACUAAUGAUCCUGAACAACAUACAUUGGUUAAGUAAACUAACUGAUUCAGAAAAAACAUUCUCAAUUAAGAAACAAAAUGGGAGGCAAAUCAUCAAAACAAGAAGUCCAAGACAACGGAGCCGUAAAUAAAAAUUUCAUAGUCUAGGAGGAACAAUCAAUGAAUCAAAUGACAGAGCUAAUGUACAUAAUAGUGAUCGUUCUAAUCCUGAAACUGGUAUGGUCCGUCUGGAAAACACACAGAAGAUACCUGAGGUCUAAAGGCACCAGUCGCAACCCUAAGUGUAUAAAAAAUUUAACAACGUGUCGUGAGAAGAGUACUGCCUUCUUCAGAAAAUCAGAAAUGAUGUUCCUAUGACUGAUGAUGGUAUGGUGAUGAUGGUAUCACUGCGCAUGUGUGUCAGACAGCGACAAUAACUAAUAAAAGCGUGCUAAAAAAACUGUUUUUCUAAACUUGAAAACAUUAAAUUGCAUUUGGUUUUGUGGAACGAAUUCGAAAUAAGAAUGAAUAGUGUAUAAUUGUAUAUUAAUAUACCUACUCAUUACAAUAAAAUCUCAACACCUAACCUAACCUUUUCGAUCGGGCUGAGGUAAGUAAGGAUGUAAUUAUGUUGUAGUUUAUUUUUAAUAAGAUGUCAACAAGAGUAACAGCAAAUUUCAUAAUUUUCUGAAUGACAGAAUACCUAAAUAUUUGUCAGUAAUUAUGAGAUUAGUAAAUUAUUUUACCUGUAACACACACAUUGUUUAUUUAUCCAUCUACAUCUUACUUAUCUCUGAAUUCGCGUAAAUAUGGAUGAAAUUAGAAAAUCUAUUCAUCAUCUAAUUAUUAUUAGUCUGGAUCUUUCUGUAAUUGUUACUGUUACCUGUUGUCACUAUGUUAUUAAAUUAAUGGAAUUGAAUUUCAAAUUUAUUCAUUCUGGUCAUUCUGAAAAACUAGAAGAUAAAUUUUCACUGUGGGAAGAUCACCACAAAUUAGUCCACAACAGUUGGAAAAUGGUGAAAUCUGACGAUUUUAUUCCUGAUGAACUAUCAAUUUACUUGGCAAGUUUACGACUACAGAUUGUUCAAACUCAUAACUGCUUAGAUAAUCAUCAGACGAAUCUGUCUCAGAAAGUAUUCAACAUUUAUAAUGUUAUGAAAGUUUGCAGUUUCAAGAGUAAAAUGAGUUAUUUCAUAUAAUAAGUCAUCAAACAAAUUAUAAUGUUCACAGGUAAAUUUGUUUUAUUAACAAGCUUCCUGUUUCUUCUAAAUGUUUUCCCAUUCUCAUCUUUAAUGAGAUAAUAUCUCUCAUUAUAUUUUUUCACUAUCUUUCCUUCAUUCCAAGAAUUGUUUUUUUAAAACAAAACAUUUUGAAUCAUUUACAAAGGUGGCAAAUUUUUUAGCGGUUUUAUUAUACUUCUUUUGAGUUGUUUCAGAAAUGUGCUCCAAGUUUUUAUGAGAUUUUUUUGUAUUAAUAAUUGUGGGAAGAAGUUUUUCUAAAGUAAUAGGAAGUUCCAUCUUCACAAGGCGAUUUAAAAAUAAUUGGAUGGGAGCAUAUGCUAACUAGGUAGGUAGAAGAGUAUCUAGAUAUUCAAGUAAAUACUACGAUAGUUCAUCUAGACGUUUCAUUUUUUUAAGCAUGUUUUUAGAGAUAUUCAUCUUCUCUACAAAACUAUUUGACUUGUGAUAAAAAAGGAUAGAAAACUCCAAAUCAAAAUUCCAUGAUUUAGUAAAAUUUCUAAAUUCUAUACUGUUAUAGGGAACAUUAUCAGCAUAGAAGAUAUCAGGAACACCAAAUUUAGAAAAAAAAUCCUUACAAUGCUUAAUCAUAGUAAAAGCUGUUUUAUUUUGGGUAGGAAAAACUUUCAACCAAUGAGAGUAGCUGUCAACAAUUAUCAAAUAGCUUUUGGACUGAUAAUCAAAAGUCAGAAAAUAAUAUUUGCCAUGGUCUUUGGUGGCGUCCGUCCAUAAAUUACGUGAGGUGUUCAAGGGGGGGGAGGGGGUCAAGUUAAAUCUUUCCAGAUCUCACUUGGGGAGAGGGGGGUUUUAACAAAUAUCACGUAUUUUUUUUUUCAAUAGAAAACCUUGUAAAAUGUGUGAAAGUAAAGUUAAAUUGAAGUAAGAAAUUUUUCUAGAAUAAAAAUAUAUGCGAAAUUUUACACAAUGGUGUUUGUCGCACCAGCCCGAACUCCGCAGAGUAGCUCAAUAGGCGGUCAGAAGCAGUCUCAUAUAGUGGACCAACAUAUAUAGUAAUCCGAAGUAGUAAGCACUCGUCUUCGACUGCAACUAGUCACGCUGAAGACUUGGACACUCUCUUAACUCUUCAGCCUUUUGGUAAAUUAAUGAAAAACGAAGAUGAUAAAGUCAAGCCUGUCCUUAUUAUUUCGAACGAUGGCGGUCCCGAUGAGAACCCGCGAUAUCGGUUGUAAAAUGCGAUGAUCAGCAGUGCUGCAGUCCGCGUCGGAGUUCUUUACAUGAUCUUUUUUUAUUACCUCCAUAUCCCAUUCAAGUUAAUGGACAUCCGGCGAUUCCGGAUCCUGAACAGCAUAAUGGAAAAACAUUUGCACCAUUCUUAAUUCGCCACUGCCUGCCUAUUCAACCAUUACACACCUUCACAAGCAUGCCUUAUGAUGACCUCUAUUGUCCAAGUUUACGUCACGAUAUAGAAAAGAGAUGCUGCAAUACAUGUGGAAUCUAUUUCGCAUCUAUCACAAAAGUUGCAGAACGUCGACGUGCGGCUCAUCGUGCACGAGCUGUGCAAACACUUAAAUUGCGACCAUCGCGUAUUGUUACAAGAUGAGAGACUGAGCUUCUGUCUGCAAGCGACAACGGUUUGGAGUGGCUCAAUCACGAGUCUCCAUGGACUGAAUUAGAAUAAUCUCUUAUUAAUUUACUUUGAAGUAUUUAUUAUUUAAUUUCAUCACAGUGAUUUUAAACUAAGGCAAUAUUCUCAAAUCACAAUUGUAUACUAGUCUUUAAUAAAAGUUAUAGAGCAAA